GAUGAACGCUGGCGGCGUGCCUAAUACAUGCAAGUCGAGCGAAUGGAUUAAGAGCUUGCUCUUAUGAAGUUAGCGGCGGACGGGUGAGUAACACGUGGGUAACCUGCCCAUAAGACUGGGAUAACUCCGGGAAACCGGGGCUAAUACCGGAUAACAUUUUGAACCGCAUGGUUCGAAAUUGAAAGGCGGCUUCGGCUGUCGCUUAUGGAUGGACCCGCGUCGCAUUAGCUAGUUGGUGAGGUAACGGCUCACCAAGGCAACGAUGCGUAGCCGGCCUGAGAGGGCGAUCGGCCACACUGGGACUGAGACACGGCCCAGACUCCUACGGGAGGCAGCAGUAGGGAAUCUUCCGCAAUGGACGAAGGUCUGACGGAGCAACGCCGCGUGAGUGAUGAAGACUUUCGGGUCGUAAAACUCUGUUGUUAGGGAAGAACAAGUGCUAGUUGAAUAAGCUGGCACCUUGACGGUACCUAACCAGGAAGCCACGGCUAACUACGUGCCAGCCGCCGCGGUAA
RNAcentral lists this ribosomal RNA (515 nucleotides) under uncultured bacterium. RNAcentral describes it as "partial 16S ribosomal RNA". It matches the Rfam family "Bacterial small subunit ribosomal RNA", at positions 28 to 523 of the family's 1533-position model. The record is from RNAcentral.